UUAGAAUGCUCUCCUCUUUCGAAAUACUCUCAAAGCUUCCCGAAACCCUAGCCUCUCUCAUCCCUCUUCAACCACAGCCUCACCGGAAUCCAUGGCUUCUCAAGCCAUGGAUGGCCUGUACUUACCCCCUUCGCUCUUAAACCAUGGUUACUCGAAGGCUCCAGGUCUGAUCUCAAUGGUAUCCUCUCAGAUCUUCCCAGAUUUAAGGCUUUGAGACCUCUCUGGCCUUGUUCUGUCUCAUCCAAAGCAUUUUAAGCCUGGCGCUGACUCAUCCGACUCAGGAUCGGACUUUUCCAAGCCUUUCACGUUUGGGGUUCUUCUGAAACCCUAAAAGCUCGAGGUUCUCUCUGAUUAUUUUAGAUCUGG
This 366-nucleotide long non-coding RNA is filed under the name Nicotiana benthamiana. RNAcentral describes it as "long non-coding RNA (NBEN_LNC022771)". The record is from RNAcentral. Lineage: Eukaryota; Viridiplantae; Streptophyta; Magnoliopsida; Solanales; Solanaceae.